This 451-nucleotide ribosomal RNA is filed under the name uncultured soil bacterium. RNAcentral describes it as "bacterial SSU rRNA". It matches the Rfam family "Bacterial small subunit ribosomal RNA", at positions 1 to 494 of the family's 1533-position model. The record is from RNAcentral.
UAAAGGUUAACGUGCCUCAGCAAAACAACUGACGGCGGCCCUACCACAUGCAAGUGAACGAGAAAGUGGAGCAAUCCAUGAAUACAGUGGCGUACGGGUGAGCACACGUGGGUAAUCUACCUUUUAGUGAGGAAUACCCAAGGGGAUCUUUGGCUAAUACCGCAUAAGCCCGAGAGGGGAAAUUCGAAAGACGCUGAAAGAGGAGCCCGCGGCCGAUUAGCUAGUUGGUGGGGUAAGAGCCCACCAAUGCAGAGACCGGUACCCGGCCUGAGAGGGCACACGGCCACACUGGCAAUGAAACCCGGGCCAGACUCCUACGGGAGGCAGCAGUGGGGAAUCUUGCACAAUGGGGGAAACCCUGAUGCAGCGACGCCGCGUGAGCGAGGAAGCCCUUCGGGGUGUAAAGCUCUUUCGUCGGGAAGAUAGUAACGGUACCUGAGAAGCAACCCUC